This 253-nucleotide ribosomal RNA is filed under the name uncultured bacterium. RNAcentral's name for it is "partial 16S ribosomal RNA". It matches the Rfam family "Bacterial small subunit ribosomal RNA", at positions 524 to 776 of the family's 1533-position model. The record is from RNAcentral.
UACGAAGGGGGCUAGCGUUGUUCGGAAUCACUGGGCGUAAAGGGCGCGUAGGCGGCUUUAUAAGUCGGGGGUGAAAGCCUGUGGCUCAACCACAGAAUUGCCUUCGAUACUGUAGAGCUUGAGACCGGAAGAGGUAAGUGGAACUGCGAGUGUAGAGGUGAAAUUCGUAGAUAUUCGCAAGAACACCAGUGGCGAAGGCGGCUUACUGGUCCAUUACUGACGCUGAGGUGCGAAAGCGUGGGGAGCAAACAGG